UUACGGGAGGCAGCAGUGGGGAAUCUUGCGCAAUGGGCGAAAGCCUGACGCAGCGACGCCGCGUGGGGGAUGAAGCUUUUCGGAGCGUAAACCCCUUUCGACCGGGACGAAUGCCCGCAAGGGCUUGACGGUACCGGUAGAAGAAGCCCCGGCUAACUACGUGCCAGCAGCCGCGGUAAAACGUAGGGGGCCAGCGUUGCUCGGAAUUACUGGGCGUAAAGGGUCUGUAGGCGGUGCGGCAAGUCGGAAGUGAAAUCGCAGGGCUUAACUCUGCGGCUGCUUCCGAAACUGCCGUGCUCGAGUGUGAGAUAGGCGAGUGGAAUUGCAGGUGUAGCGGUGAAAUGCGUAGAUAUCUGCAGGAACAUCCGAGGCGAAAGCGGCUCGCUGGAUCACAACUGACGCUGAGAGACGAAAGCUAGGGGAGCAAACAGGAUUAGAUACCCCGGUAGG
RNAcentral lists this ribosomal RNA (450 nucleotides) under uncultured bacterium. RNAcentral describes it as "bacterial SSU rRNA". It matches the Rfam family "Bacterial small subunit ribosomal RNA", at positions 339 to 794 of the family's 1533-position model. The record is from RNAcentral.